CAAAUUCCAGUCUUCUGGGAGGAGGGGGAGAAGAUGGCUGCUAAACCUGCAGAACUGCUCUCUGCGUUCUGACCCCGGAUCUCCCUCUACCCCUAUCUGUGGCUUGGCAUGUGAAGACCUCCUGCCUUGGUGGCGGGGAGGAUCGAUGUGAAGAGGAGAUGUGCUCUCAUAUAAGGCCGACCUUAUCUCCCAGCUGUCUUCUCAGGGCUCUGCAGUGGGGCAGCUUCACAGCAGGAUGAUCCAUCAUGUUGGCCUCACACACCUGAGCCAUGUUUAGUUCUCUUAGUUCUAGAGGUGGGCCUCCCGUCAGUAUGUGAAAACUGUUUGCUUUAUGUAGAAAAAAAAAGUUAGUAUACCACCUACACACUUUUGGAAACUCUCCUGGCUAUAGACAUUUUAUUUUUGUUGAGGAAUUGAUGUUAUCCCCAUGUGAAGGUAACUUUUGGGAGGAAAGUUUCACUUCACCGUAUAUGGUAUUAUUAAUUUAAAGUGAAAUGUGUGGUCCAAGUAAAGCAGAAAAUACUUAUAUUUGUGAUAUUUUUUUGGCUUUAUGCCAGUGCGAUGUGAAUGGGGUGAAAAUAAAGCCCAGGGUGCAAUUC
Long non-coding RNA from Notothenia coriiceps (black rockcod), 599 nucleotides. RefSeq lists it as uncharacterized. Lineage: Eukaryota; Metazoa; Chordata; Actinopteri; Perciformes; Nototheniidae. The transcript is spliced from 2 exons. The record is from RefSeq and is a predicted model, not a curated record.